UACGGAGGAUGCAAGCGUUAUCCGGAAUGAUUGGGCGUAAAGCGUCCGCAGGUGGCUGUGUAAGUCUGCUGUUAAAGAGUGAGGCUCAACCUCAUAAAGGCAGUGGAAACUACAUGGCUAGAGUGCGUUCGGGGCAGAGGGAAUUCCUGGUGUAGCGGUGAAAUGCGUAGAGAUCGGGAAGAACAUCGGUGGCGAAAGCGCUCUACUGGGCCGCAACUGACACUCAGGGACGAAAGCUAGGGGAGCGAAUGGG
RNAcentral lists this ribosomal RNA (253 nucleotides) under uncultured bacterium. Its description in RNAcentral is "partial 16S ribosomal RNA". It matches the Rfam family "Bacterial small subunit ribosomal RNA", at positions 524 to 776 of the family's 1533-position model. The record is from RNAcentral.